RNAcentral lists this long non-coding RNA (1391 nucleotides) under Mus spicilegus (steppe mouse). RNAcentral describes it as "lncRNA (ENSMSIG00000001769.1)". Lineage: Eukaryota; Metazoa; Chordata; Mammalia; Rodentia; Muridae. The record is from RNAcentral.
GAAGGUGGAACCUUAUGGAAGGUGAUUAGGUCACAGGAAUAGAGCCCUCCUGAAGGGCUUCUGUCCUCUUUCAGGGGACCAAAAUGCAGCUGCCUUGUUCCUUCCAUGUGAGACAAAGCAAGAAGUGAAUCACAGGCUUUUUGGACAGGGAGAGGGAGAGGGCAAGAUGUAGCUAUUAGUGUCUUCCAUUUAUAUGGCAAGCAAGCUGAGGAACCCAUGAAGAGCAAGUCGGAAAGUAUCUUUUGAUACAGAAGCCAGAAAUUCUUCCACGGUUGCUGCCUCUGUUCCUGCUUGAGUUCCUGCCCCGAUUUCCCUCAGGAAGGGCUCUGUAAUCACGAUGUGUAAAGCAAGCAACCCCAUUUCUCUCCAGUUUAAACCACCACCACCACAACAAAAUGAGCCACAAAACAGGUUCAGCUCCGUAGGCCCUGUUACAACAAAGGCUGCUCCCACAACAGAAAGUACAAGUAGGUGGUCAACUUCAGUGGCAGCUAGCUGUACAGUACCAUCUCAGCGGGCACACAAGAUAAACAAGUCUUCAGGGCAUGGCUACCUUCACCUGAAUGCCAAAGAAUGGCCAAGGGUGUCUCAGGACCCAGAAAGGAAACAGUGAAGGUGUAGACUUAGAGUCACACAGCCCACUCAGAUCAUGUCCAGUGGAGCCAUGGGCUCCAUGAGACCUCAGGACAGAAGGGCCAUUAGCAUAUCAUCCCACUGUGAAAGCUACAGGCAUACAAUAUCAACAGAGCCACAAAAAUCAACCCUGGGCGCAAGCCCACCAACCAAGAAGCUCUAGAAGGUGUGACCUCUACUCUGGUGAUCCCAAGAGGCAGAGCCUUGAGACAAAGAUUGUUUUCCAGGUGAAAGACUUUGGACCUUCUGAGAAUGCUUGACUCCUGCCUUCUUGUCUGCUUCUCCCUUUGGACUGGGAAUGCCCAGCUCUUGACUGUCCUGUAAGUGUAGUCAGGACACCUAUAAAAUGUCUGGUUCCAUGGGUUCACAGCUGGAAAGCAAUGCACCCCAGGAUAAACAGCACCUCGUACUGUCAUCCAUGGCUGAUUAAGUGAUACUGAGAAAAGACCUCGGAUGGCUGGAAUGUGGGUCUGGAGUGCCUGUCACUGGACUGUUGCAAUCCUAACCUCAAGUGGACGAUAGGAGGAAUAAUGGGUCUCUUCUGGGAAGUGACGGAGAGUAGAAACAUCAUCCAUGAGAUCAGUAGAUGAUCAAAGGCCUGGAGUUGCUUGGUCACUUCCACUGUGUGCAGACACAGUGCAAAAGGAACUGUUUGUACACCAUGAAUUAACUUCUCACCAGCCAUGGAAUCUGACAGCACUGUGAUUUGACAUCCCAGCUGACAAAUCGAUCAGAAAUAAAUUCCCAUUUCUAAGCCA